RNAcentral lists this transfer RNA (73 nucleotides) under Bdellovibrio sp. RNAcentral describes it as "tRNA-Cys". It matches the Rfam family "tRNA". From Rfam's summary of the family: Transfer RNA (tRNA) molecules are approximately 80 nucleotides in length. Their secondary structure includes four short double-helical elements and three loops (D, anti-codon, and T loops). Lineage: Bacteria; Pseudomonadati; Bdellovibrionota; Bdellovibrionia; Bdellovibrionales; Pseudobdellovibrionaceae. The record is from RNAcentral.
GGUGACGUACCCAAAUGGCUAAGGGAACGGUUUGCAAAACCGUCUUGUGCCGGUUCAAAUCCGGCCGUCACCU